AUAGGUAAAGAAAACCAGUAGGAAGCAAAGAUGAGCUUCGAGAUGAAAGAUAACAAAUUGACAAACCUAGAAACUUCAUUCUAACCACACCUUAUCCAACUUUUCAAGAUCCAAACCUUAAAAAAAAUUCAAUACAAGGUGUGAAAUGAUACUUGCCAUCCUUAGACUUUCCAAUAUUACCUACAAUACAAGAUAUACACUGCUGAGAAAUGUAUUCAUGAAUUGCGUUGCUUUCAAAUUAAAUGAAGUAUUUUUUUGUAUAACAUUUACCAUUCAUAGUAUAUAUUAUAUACCAUACCCUAUGAGUAAGUGGAAAAUUUUUUAUCAGACUCCAUGUCAAUGGAAUCUUCCCUGCAUCAUUGUUCUGCCUGCAGUAAUAUGUUCAGUUUUUUUUCACUUAUUAAUUAAGAUAUUAAUGUUGAACACAGAGGGUUAAUUAACUACUUAAUUAUAAUUAUUAGGAAUUCUAUGAUGAGGACAAAAGUGCUUACUUUUUUUGCUUCAAGAAGUUUCUGGUCAUUAUUAAGUAGAGUACUUGAAAAUCCAAGUAAGAACACUAGGAGGCAAAAAAAAGAAAACUAGGAGCACCCUUAACUAAAACAAAAA
RNAcentral lists this long non-coding RNA (606 nucleotides) under Trifolium pratense (red clover). Its description in RNAcentral is "long non-coding RNA (TPRA_LNC010295)". Lineage: Eukaryota; Viridiplantae; Streptophyta; Magnoliopsida; Fabales; Fabaceae. The record is from RNAcentral.